CAGCCGCCGCGGUAAAACCAGCACCUCAAGUGGUCAGGAUGAUUAUUGGGCCUAAAGCAUCCGUAGCCGGCUCUGUAAGUUUUCGGUUAAAUCUGUACGCUCAACGUACAGGCUGCCGGGAAUACUGCAGAGCUAGGGAGUGGGAGAGGUAGACGGUACUCGGUAGGAAGGGGUAAAAUCCUUUGAUCUAUUGAUGACCACCUGUGGCGAAGGCGGUCUACCAGAACACGUCCGACGGUGAGGGAUGAAAGCUGGGGGAGCAAACCGGAUUAGUUACCCGGGUAGUCCCAGCUGUAAACUAUGCAAACUCAGUGAUGCAUUGGCUUGUGGCCAAUGCAGUGCUGCAGGGAAGCCGUUAAGUUUGCCGCCUGGGAAGUACGUACGCAAGUAUGAAACUUAAAGGAAUUGGCGGGGGAGCAC
RNAcentral lists this ribosomal RNA (420 nucleotides) under uncultured Nitrososphaerota archaeon. RNAcentral describes it as "bacterial SSU rRNA". It matches the Rfam family "Archaeal small subunit ribosomal RNA", at positions 459 to 879 of the family's 1478-position model. Lineage: Archaea; Thermoproteati; Nitrososphaerota. The record is from RNAcentral.